UAUUGACCUAUAAUUGAGGAACAUAUACAAUAACAAAUACGACACUGCCCUGCUUUCUUCACAGCGAGAAAAUCACAUUUUUGACCAAAACAUGCAAGCGGAGACCUUUCAUUAACAACAAAACACGCCUUUGAUAGUGUCCAUACAGUGUAGACUAACUCAUAUAUUUCUAGACACAGGAUAGAACAGGAUAGUACAAUGGAUGUUCUCUAGGAAAUUGAUCGCAAACUGGUUGGUUGUACUGUUUAAUGAAAGGCUAAACUUCCAUAACAAUCACAGGUAUUGUCAAUAGAACAGCUUUGACUCAGGAUGCAAAAAGAUGCACUUAAGGGCCCAGGAUGCAAAUAAAUGUUAUUUGCGUAUGUUUGAAACACUACUGAUCACACACUGGUCCAAAGCGCCUCUUGCGAAGAACAUUUAAACCGUCGAACUGAUUGGUCCGUUGUCGUAGCCCAUGUGCAUAGGCUAGGCCAAGGACGUUAAAGCUUAGGAGACCAUGGAUAUGCACUCUCAAAAUGAUUUAGAACCCUAUCACCUUUCCUUAAGACAGUUAACAAAUUCGAGAGCAAAUCACGUCAAUUGUCAUGGAUUCAUGGUCAAUACCAAAAAGAAUCUGGAAUUGCGAGUGUAAUUUGAUUCAUGCAAAAGUAAGCGUUAGUCGUUUAAUUUUGAUCGUCAUCUUUUCCUUCACGAUGAUCAAACUUGUGACUCGUCUUUUGCGUUAUGAAAUUAUUACUUUCUAAAUUUUGGUCUGUUCAGAAGUUUGUUCGCUUACUGUUAACUUGAUAUUUGAUGGCUACAGCUUGGAUUUCAAAUGAAAUCUUUCCCCACUUUGUCAAAAUGAUGAUAGAAGAUGAUGCAAGUGAUACAAGAUGAAAUGAGAAAUGCUUUCAUUUCCAACAUGUUAUGUUCAAGUGACAAGUGACAAAGUUCGCCAUUUCAUGUUGCCUCAGUGAGGACUGACAAAUAGCGAUUAACUUCCGUUGACCAAACACAAUGUUUGAAAGGGUAAUCCAACUCUUUUCAUUGAAAUGAAUAGACCAGACAGACUUUUCACUCAGCCUCAACAUGAGUGAUAAGACCCUUUAUUUGCCACGAGGAAAAUUGCAACCAGGUUCCUUCAAUGCCGAUAUGCACGAAACUAUGAAAAACAUCUAUUCUUAAUUACACUUGGGGACCAUUUUAUCUACCGUGGGGGUUUGACAUGCGCCCACAGCACACGGCGUCAAAAAUGAGUAUUCCACAUGGGUUGGAAAGUAAUCAAAUGGACUGCGUUUAACUCCAGAGAGAGAGCAUUACGAUAAUAACUGAACUGUUUGGAGGGUUCCACGACAAUUCGACCUAUGGGACAAGUCGGCCUAGGACGAUGCAAUCCAACGAACAACUCGACCCUACGGACAACUCGACCCAACAGACAACUCGACCCAAAUUGAACACAAUUUAUUGGGUAACACAUUCUACAACAAUGGAACAAAAUUGAAACUUUUGUAUCUGAAAGGCAUCACACAAUGCUAAAGUUUUAAUUACUUCAAU
This is a long non-coding RNA of Tigriopus californicus, 1533 nucleotides long. RefSeq lists it as uncharacterized. NCBI's taxonomy places the organism in Eukaryota, Metazoa, Arthropoda, Copepoda, Harpacticoida, Harpacticidae. The transcript has 3 exons. The record is from RefSeq and is a predicted model, not a curated record.